UCAGGCCUAACACAUGCAAGUCGAGCGGGGUUUUCGGACAUAGCGGCGGACGGGUGAGUAAUGCGUAGGAAGCUACCCGAUAGAGGGGGAUACCAGUUGGAAACGACUGUUAAUACCGCAUAAUGUCUACGGACCAAAGUGUGGGACCUUCGGGCCACAUGCUAUCGGAUGCGCCUACGUGGGAUUAGCUAGUUGGUGGGGUAAUGGCUCACCAAGGCGACGAUCCCUAGCUGGUUUGAGAGGAUGAUCAGCCACACUGGAACGGGGACACGGUCCAGACUCCUACGGGAGGCAGCAGUGGGGAAUAUUGGACAAUGGGCG
Molecule: ribosomal RNA, 321 nt
Filed under: uncultured bacterium
Lineage: Bacteria
Description: bacterial SSU rRNA
Rfam family: Bacterial small subunit ribosomal RNA
Source: RNAcentral